UACGAAGGGGGCUAGCGUUGUUCGGAUUUACUGGGCGUAAAGCGCACGUAGGCGGAUCGAUCAGUCAGGGGUGAAAUCCCAGAGCUCAACUCUGGAACUUCCUUUGAUACUGUCGAUCUGGAGUAUGGAAGAGGUGAGUGGAAUUCCGAGUGUAGAGGCGAAAUUCGUAGAUAUUCGGAGGAACACCAGUGGCGAAGGCGGCUCACUGGUCCAUUACUGACGCUGAGGUGCGAAAGCGUGGGGAGCAAACAGG
RNAcentral lists this ribosomal RNA (253 nucleotides) under uncultured bacterium. RNAcentral describes it as "partial 16S ribosomal RNA". It matches the Rfam family "Bacterial small subunit ribosomal RNA", at positions 524 to 776 of the family's 1533-position model. The record is from RNAcentral.